This is an RNA transcript of Hordeum vulgare subsp. vulgare (domesticated barley), 719 nucleotides long. RefSeq lists it as uncharacterized. The record is from RefSeq and is a predicted model, not a curated record. The transcript is spliced from 4 exons. Lineage: Eukaryota; Viridiplantae; Streptophyta; Magnoliopsida; Poales; Poaceae.
GCCCCGCAGUCUGAUCUAGAUGAUACAUGAUCUGCGCGGAUGGAACUCCGAGUACUUGGAUGCUUCAUGUGCGAUCUAUGAUGCCCGUCAAUGAUUUCCUAAUUGACAUGUUUGGAGACAUUAAGAUGUGGGCGUUUAGAGGUCCCUUCGAAGGUUACGGGAAAUUUUUGCACGGAUAUCUUUCAGGCUGGUUCCAAAGUAGUUUUGAAGACUUCAACAUAUCCCAACAAGAGGAAUGUUGCGUAUGGUACUAUUCGUAGUACCGAUCCAAGAACUAAGACGUGUGGUAUUGAGUUAGGUGCUGAAUUUGCCCUCGUGCGCAUAGAUCAACCUUUGCUUGAUAAUGAGGAGUUGGUAAGGGAAGUUUCUGAUUGCAAGACAAUUGGUGAAGCAUUCUUUUCAGGAUACUUAAUUGCAUGGCCUUCUGCUUUUAUUCGAGAGAAGGAUAAUUGAGUUACGGUUGAAUUCUUGGAUGCGGAAGCAAAUAAAAUCUAAAGAUUUUAUCUACCAAUAGUCGUAGUUUACAUUGAUAGACUGAAAAAAUGUAAUAUGACCCACAAGAUCUUUUUCUUUCGUCCAGUUGAUGCAAAUUCUAUGGUGUAAUAUUCUUCAUAGUUGUGUUUUCUAUGCUCAAAAUGAUAUGAAUGAUAUCUUUAUUGUAAUGCAUAUGUAUCAUACACUUGUAUAUUCUUAAUUAGUAUCUUCACAUUGAGGAUUUC